This 374-nucleotide ribosomal RNA is filed under the name uncultured organism. RNAcentral's name for it is "partial 16S ribosomal RNA". It matches the Rfam family "Bacterial small subunit ribosomal RNA", at positions 527 to 896 of the family's 1533-position model. The record is from RNAcentral.
GUAGGUGGCAAGCGUUGUCCGGAAUUAUUGGGCGUAAAGCGCGCGCAGGUGGGUUCUUUAAGUCUGAUGUGAAAGCCCCCGGGCUCAACCGGGGAGGGUCAUUGGAAACUGGGGAACUUGAGUGCAGGAGAGGAAAGUGGAAUUCCACGUGUAGCGGUGAAAUGCGUAGAUAUGUGGAGGAACACCAGUGGCGAAGGCGACUUUCUGGCCUGUAACUGACACUGAGGCGCGAAAGCGUGGGGGAGCAAACAGGAUUAGAUACCCUGGUAGUCCACGCCGUAAACGAUGAGUGCUAAGUGUUGGGGGGUUUCCGCCCCUCAGUGCUGCAGCUAACGCAUUAAGCACUCCGCCUGGGGAGUACGGUCGCAAGACUG